GGCUCGCGUCCUUCCGGUCUUCCCGACCUCUCUCGCUCCUUUGGAAGGAGCAACGGUGCCCCUGCUGGACCGUAGGUCACACAGUUUUGCCAUGAUUGGAACCAAGGAAGCCUCCAAGCUUCUGAACUCUGUUCUGCACAGCUUUUGAGUCCCAACCUUUUGUGGCCUCCAGUGUGAUAGAUCACAACAUGUCUUGGUAUUGAGCACAUCUGAAUUGAACUCCCUGCAACCUAAACAACAUAUCAUUUUGGUAGCUAAAUGACCAACAAUUAGAACAGCAACACAUAAUCGCAAAUGAGAUAUAAUCAACAUUACUUCAGAUUCUCCUUAUUCAUAGCAUUCCUUUUCUUAUUCUUUUCAAAACAUGUCUAUUCCAAAACUAAUGAAGUUAUUGUUCAGAUCUCAAACUUUUGUGGCACUUGUGCAAAACACAGCAUAAAUUACAACUCAACACAUGCAUGAUCGGCCUGUUAAGUAAUUGACAUGUGAAGAGAGUGAAUACUUUAUAUGCCUUUCGAUCUUGAUCAUCCAGAGUUACUCGCAAGCAUGAAUGAGGCAGAGAAAGAACGAACAGAGGGUGAGGACUAGAAAUCAAAACAUGGAGUUCCUUCAUUUGGUUGCAAGGAAAGGAAGGCAGAGUUGAAGAAGAAGAAGAAGAAGAAGAAGAAGACCAUGAGGACCAUCUCCCCAUCACCAAGUACUAAUGGUGUCAAAAGGUAUCAGAUCGGGUGCUAAAUCUUGCGUUGCAGAAGAACAGGAAUGGCACCAUGGCCCUAUGUGUCUCCCUAAAGCUUUGACUGAUGACAUGGAGCUUCAUGUUCUUCCAUUAUCUAGGAUUUGAAUUAAGAAUGUGAUCCUACUUUAUUUCCCCUCCUUUUUCCCUAAACCCACAACAUUUUGUCCCCCCCUCCCUCAUCAAAUCUUCCACAGUGUUCUGCCGACAAUACUCUCAUCAUCGGGAGUCUUCCAUCCAUUGAUGGCAACUCUCACUUUUGUGUUUCCAUUGAUCAGCUCCUGAAGCCUCAUGAACCUGUGUUUGAUGAUGAAAGAAUCAUCCAUGUUCAACUGAACAUAAGCCAAAAUACUAAACGAUUGUGCUGAUGGAAGUAGGCAAAAUCAUUUCCAUUUCA
Non-coding RNA from Musa acuminata subsp. malaccensis (wild Malaysian banana), 1130 nucleotides. NCBI's taxonomy places the organism in Eukaryota, Viridiplantae, Streptophyta, Magnoliopsida, Zingiberales, Musaceae. The record is from RefSeq and is a predicted model, not a curated record.